Molecule: non-coding RNA, 30 nt
Filed under: Homo sapiens (human)
Lineage: Eukaryota; Metazoa; Chordata; Mammalia; Primates; Hominidae
Source: RNAcentral
ACCGAUUCAACAAGUAUUUGCCUACUGUGC